Long non-coding RNA from Lates calcarifer (barramundi perch), 794 nucleotides. RefSeq lists it as uncharacterized. Lineage: Eukaryota; Metazoa; Chordata; Actinopteri; Centropomidae. The transcript has 5 exons. The record is from RefSeq and is a predicted model, not a curated record.
CUCUCCUCCCUCUUUCUCCUUUCUCUUCAGGCAGGUGACCGCUCGGCGGAGUCGCUGGCUGCGGAUCGCCUGCUUUUCCUGUUGCUCCAUGCGGAAGAAUGAGUCGAUCCGGAGCUGAGUCUGAACCCAUUACCUGCUGGGUGUUGAGCUGCUUGAUCACAGGCUGAAGAGUCUCCUCCGUCUUCCGACUGCUCCAUCCGAAGCGACUCAGGCAGAACGUGGACCGGCUCAGGAAAAAAAUCUGACGUUCGUGAUCAGACACACACGCAAACACUCAUCCACCCACAUGGACAAAAAGGAUAUUCUUUGAUCAUGUCGAGUUGUGGGCGCCCCCAGCUGAAGGAGCCGUCUGACUGGUCCACAGCAGGAUGCAGAGACUGGAGGGAUUAAGUGUGAGGGAAAGUUUGGAAACACUUUGCUCACUACAUCCAAACAAACAAACACACCUGAACUGUGUUAGUGGCUCCAACCCCGGCCCUGGGAACUCAUUCAGUAUCUCCAUGCCAGUCACAUAUCCCACCCCUGGCACGCCCUCUGUGUAGUCACUUCCAAGCAGCCACACGUCUGAGUCGUCUGUGAUGGUCCCAUGAGUGUGGUCAGCGCGGUCGAGCGCCGCGCACUGAGCCUCGGCCUCCGUCGGGGCCACAAGGAACGGUACAUCUGUCCGGUGACUGUGUUCGCCAUCCUCUCCUGCUGCUGUUUCUGCUCCCUCAGGUUGCUCUGCUCCACCUGUAGAGAGCUCUCCAGAGCCUCCAGCUCAUCCUGCAGCACAACACAGACACACUCAGUUAUUG